RNAcentral lists this ribosomal RNA (238 nucleotides) under uncultured bacterium. Its description in RNAcentral is "partial 16S ribosomal RNA". It matches the Rfam family "Bacterial small subunit ribosomal RNA", at positions 96 to 334 of the family's 1533-position model. The record is from RNAcentral.
UGGCGGACGGGUGAGUAACGCGUGGGUAACCUGCCUCGUACAGGGGGAUAACAGUUAGAAAUGACUGCUAAUACCGCAUAAGCGCACAGUACCGCAUGGUACGGUGUGAAAAACUCCGGUGGUAUGAGAUGGACCCGCGUCUGAUUAGGUAGUUGGUGGGGUAACGGCCUACCAAGCCGACGAUCAGUAGCCGACCUGAGAGGGUGACCGGCCACAUUGGGACUGAGACACGGCCCAA